Molecule: ribosomal RNA, 704 nt
Filed under: uncultured Carnobacteriaceae bacterium
Lineage: Bacteria; Bacillati; Bacillota; Bacilli; Lactobacillales; Carnobacteriaceae
Description: bacterial SSU rRNA
Rfam family: Bacterial small subunit ribosomal RNA
Source: RNAcentral
UUUCGAGUGGGAGCUUGCUUCCACUGAGAAGAUAGUGGCGGACGGGUGAGUAACACGUGGGUAACCUGCCCAUAAGAGGGGGAUAACAUCCGGAAACGGGUGCUAAUACCGCAUAGUUUUCUUGGUCGCAUGAUCGAGAAAGGAAAGACGGCCUUUGUGCUGUCGCUUAUGGAUGGACCCGCGGCGUAUUAGUUAGUUGGUGAGGUAACGGCUCACCAAGACGAUGAUACGUAGCCGACCUGAGAGGGUGAUCGGCCACAUUGGGACUGAGACACGGCCCAAACUCCUACGGGAGGCAGCAGUAGGGAAUCUUCCGCAAUGGACGAAAGUCUGACGGAGCAACGCCGCGUGAGUGAAGAAGGUUUUCGGAUCGUAAAACUCUGUUGUCAGAGAAGAACAAGUCGGAGAGUAACUGCUCCGGCCUUGACGGUAUCUGACCAGAAAGCCACGGCUAACUACGUGCCAGCAGCCGCGGUAAUACGUAGGUGGCAAGCGUUGUCCGGAUUUAUUGGGCGUAAAGCGAGCGCAGGCGGUUCCUUAAGUCUGAUGUGAAAGCCCACGGCUCAACCGUGGAAGGUCAUUGGAAACUGGGGAACUUGAGUGCAGAAGAGGAGAGUGGAAUUCCAUGUGUAGCGGUGAAAUGCGUAGAUAUAUGGAGGAACACCAGUGGCGAAGGCGACUCUCUGGUCUGUAACUGACGCUGA